RNAcentral lists this ribosomal RNA (429 nucleotides) under Bacteroidota bacterium. RNAcentral describes it as "Bacteroidetes bacterium partial 16S ribosomal RNA". It matches the Rfam family "Bacterial small subunit ribosomal RNA", at positions 355 to 776 of the family's 1533-position model. Lineage: Bacteria; Pseudomonadati; Bacteroidota. The record is from RNAcentral.
UAGGGAAUCUUCCGCAAUGGACGCAAGUCUGACGGAGCAACGCCGCGUGAGUGAAGAAGGAUUUCGGUUCGUAAAACUCUGUUGUUAGAGAAGAACAGCGCAUAGAGUAACUGUUAUGCGUGUGACGGUAUCUAACCAGAAAGCCACGGCUAACUACGUGCCAGCAGCCGCGGUAAUACGUAGGUGGCAAGCGUUGUCCGGAUUUAUUGGGCGUAAAGCGAGCGCAGGCGGUCAACUAAGUCUGAUGUGAAAGCCCCCGGCUCAACCGGGGAGGGUCAUUGGAAACUGGUUGACUUGAGUGCAGAAGAGGAGAGUGGAAUUCCAUGUGUAGCGGUGAAAUGCGUAGAUAUAUGGAGGAACACCAGUGGCGAAGGCGACUCUCUGGUCUGUAACUGACGCUGAGGUUCGAAAGCGUGGGUAGCAAACAGG